Molecule: non-coding RNA, 1667 nt
Organism: Physcomitrium patens
Lineage: Eukaryota; Viridiplantae; Streptophyta; Bryopsida; Funariales; Funariaceae
Source: RefSeq, a predicted model, not a curated record
AAUGGAGGAGCGCUCUGAAAGAUUUUGUGGAGAUUAAUGGGGGGAAUGAAUGCGUGUGCGGAUACAUGGAUGUGAACUGAGAUGGCUGCGUCACAUUCAAUCCGUCAUCAGGUGAUGCUCUCCCAAGCAAAGGUUCCGUGGUCUAGACCUCUAAGUUAAGCUCCUGGGAAUAGUUGAGAAUAAAGCACCCGGCGCUUCGAGUUACACCGGAAGCCGGUAGACGCAUGACGUUUUUUCGAUGCGUGGCCGGAAAGAUGGUAGGGAGGAUUAUCUCUAUUAGGGAGUUCGAACACUACGAUGCCAUAGCACUCUAGAACGAUACACGAAGUGUUCAAUUCGGCUUACAACCUACGAAAUUGUGUCUACUGUCUGCGAUCUCGUGGUUUGAAGAAUUAGCUUCGUGUUGCGCGCCUAUGUCGGCGUUAACUGGGUUGUGGUAUCCUGUUCACCGGGAGGUCAGGAUAGUAUGGAGAGUCUCCGAUCUGUGCAGCUCAGCGGAUGGAGCUUGAAUCUCUGAAUAACUCCGUGUCGUAUCGAACUCCUCUCGAAGGGUUGGAGAACUCGUGGUUGGUUGCAGUCAAGUGAAGCGUAUCGACCGACCUUGGGAAUGUUGGUAAAGCGACUUUUUUUUACUGGACAUCACUGGUUUCUCUCAAGUUGGAUGUGCGAGCUCGUCUACUUGUAAGUGGAUUUGCGCCGGGUCCGACCACAAGGACGCAGCAGUGCAGGUGCUUCGACGGAGUCCAAGCUUUGGCCAGCGAGUGCUGAAAGUGUUAGGGGUUUCAUGUAGUAUUCGAUGCGCAGCAGCGGGGCAAGAUCGUAAGAGACGUUUCGGCAAGUAGCCCUAAUCAACAGCAGUCGUGGAGUAGUUCGUAGUUUUUGUAAAAAGACAAUCUCCGUAUGGAGCUGGAUUGGUAUUCGAAGAAACAUUUCACCUCAAAUUCAGCUAGAAGAGUUGCAAUACUGACCAGCUUCAUGGGCCAUGUUGGAUCAAGGCUAUUGCUGGUAAAGCCGUUGUACAAAAGGUUGUCAAGUUCAAUAUCAUCGAAAUCCCUACCAGCACCUACGGCAUCUAAGAAAUGGGACGACGAUGAAUAUCUCGACUUCCAACCAAAGUGCUUGUCGCUCGGAAGGUCGAGGAAAUGGGUGUUUUCAUCGUUCGAUGAAAGAGCGCGAAGAAAACAAUACAAUUGCUUUGCAUGUGUUCUGCACAUAUGAAAGCUGACCGCCUGCGAUUACAAUCAAGUAGUGCAAGCGACCACCUGCGACUACACGCUGGACUUUUUCUCGUAAAUUUUGUUAUUAUAUUCUAGAACCUUAUCAGAUUGUGUAGGUGUUUAGAAGUAGUCAUGAACCACUACCAGUGACCAUGCCUGUAACUAAUUCACAAGUGCAUGCUACAAUUCACUCGGGUAGACUGUCUGCUAAGCUUCUGCAAAUAUUCAUUCAAAGAGCGACGAUCUGGAUACAACUACUCCUGCUCUUCUUUCUUCUUUGUUAUUUAUUUUUAUUUAUAUUUUACUUCGAGUUAUACAAAUCUGAGUCUGUUUGAGAAGUUUUUAUUUUUUUAUUUAGUUCUUCAUAUUGGUGUAUCUCUUUUACCUGAUGUUGCAUCCUGGUGUUGCAGCAAAUAAUAAUAUUAUAACAUUUCCGUAUGUUUCCAGCCA